UGAGACACGGCCCAGACUCCUACGGGAGGCAGCAGUGGGGAAUAUUGCACAAUGGGCGAAAGCCUGAUGCAGCCAUGCCGCGUGUGUGAAGAAGGCCUUAGGGUUGUAAAGCACUUUCAGCGAGGAGGAAAGGUCAGUAGCUAAUAAUUUCUGGCUGUGACGUUACUAGCAGAAGAAGCACCGGCUAAUUUAGCGCCAGCAGCCGCGGUAAUACUAAAGGUGCAAGCGUUAAUCGGAAUUACUGGGCGUAAAGCGCGCGUAGGUGGUUUGUCAAGUUGAAUGUGAAAGCCCAGGGCUCAACCUUGGAACAGCAUC
This 315-nucleotide ribosomal RNA is filed under the name uncultured Oleispira sp. Its description in RNAcentral is "bacterial SSU rRNA". It matches the Rfam family "Bacterial small subunit ribosomal RNA", at positions 320 to 627 of the family's 1533-position model. Lineage: Bacteria; Pseudomonadati; Pseudomonadota; Gammaproteobacteria; Oceanospirillales; Oceanospirillaceae. The record is from RNAcentral.